UACGUAGGUGGCAAGCGUUGUCCGGAAUUAUUGGGCGUAAAGCGCGCGCAGGUGGUUUCUUAAGUCUGAUGUGAAAGCCCACGGCUCAACCGUGGAGGGUCAUUGGAAACUGGGGAACUUGAGUGCAGAAGAGGAAAGUGGAAUUCCAAGUGUAGCGGUGAAAUGCGUAGAGAUUUGGAGGAACACCAGUGGCGAAGGCGACUGCCUGGGGAGUAACUGACGCUGAGGCGCGAAAGCUGGGGGAGCAAACGGG
RNAcentral lists this ribosomal RNA (253 nucleotides) under uncultured bacterium. Its description in RNAcentral is "partial 16S ribosomal RNA". It matches the Rfam family "Bacterial small subunit ribosomal RNA", at positions 524 to 776 of the family's 1533-position model. The record is from RNAcentral.